GGCUCUGUCAGAGUAGAAACCUGUAGCGUGGCAGCUGACUGGAGAGGAGGGAGUCUUCUGGAGGAGAGACACUGAGGGAAGGUCUGGAGAGAGAGAGAGAGAGAGAGAGAGAGAGAGAGAGAGAGAGAGAGAGAGAGAGAGAGAGAGAGAGAGAGAGAGA
Micropterus salmoides (largemouth bass) is the source of this 160-nucleotide long non-coding RNA. RefSeq lists it as uncharacterized. The record is from RefSeq and is a predicted model, not a curated record. NCBI's taxonomy places the organism in Eukaryota, Metazoa, Chordata, Actinopteri, Centrarchiformes, Centrarchidae. The transcript has 2 exons.